ACAAUACCAGUUGUAGCAUGGAUAUUGAUGCUGGUAACCAGGAAGAGGGAAAAAAUGUUCUCCCGGCUGCUGCUACAAGUGUAGAUGUAGGGAACACACCUGUAUCUUCAGAUCAAGCUGUCUCGAAUGAAGGGAGUGAUGCGGUUCAGGCACCUGUAUCUUCAGAUCAAGCUGUCUCGAAUGAAGGGAGUGACGCGGUUCACGCACCUGUAUCUUCGGAUGAAGCUGCGUCAAAUGAAGAGAGCGGCGCGGUUCCUGAAUAAAACAUCUUCCGCAUACCUCAUCUGCAGCGGAUGUCACAAGCAUGAUGCCAAAGGUGACUACUGAACACUAGCUCGCGUGCCAUGUUUGUUUUGUUAAUUUUCGUUUUGACUCUCUGCUGGUCUGAACAUUUGUGGAAGUAAAACCUGAUAUUUACAGUUUUCUAUUGAAAAUAUGAACUUGAGGAAACAGGUCAUCCCGCUAGUGGUGCUUUUGACCUUUUUUUUAUGGGCCACGCUUCGGGUCUGGGUUUCGAAGAAGCACCCAUGUUUGACCUGAUCAUGUGGGGCAAAAUAUCACCGUCUUUUGUGGUGGUGGCUGCAGCCGGUGUUUGUGGGAUGUGGGAUUAUAACUGCUGCUGUUGCGCUGCUGGUGCUGUUCAUGUUGCUAGUGCUACUUGCGAUAUGAUUUUCAAGAUGUGGCGCUUUAGCUUUGCUCAUGUUGGUCAUGUCUGUUAGCCUCACUGGUUUCAAGAGGUUUUAAGAAUAAAAAACUGCUCCUUGUGUGUG
This 770-nucleotide long non-coding RNA is filed under the name Triticum aestivum (bread wheat). Its description in RNAcentral is "long non-coding RNA (TAES_LNC009054)". The record is from RNAcentral. Lineage: Eukaryota; Viridiplantae; Streptophyta; Magnoliopsida; Poales; Poaceae.